This 117-nucleotide signal recognition particle RNA is filed under the name Chlorocebus sabaeus (green monkey). Its description in RNAcentral is "Metazoan signal recognition particle RNA". It matches the Rfam family "Metazoan signal recognition particle RNA". From Rfam's summary of the family: The signal recognition particle (SRP) is a universally conserved ribonucleoprotein. It is involved in the co-translational targeting of proteins to membranes. The record is from Rfam by way of RNAcentral. Lineage: Eukaryota; Metazoa; Chordata; Mammalia; Primates; Cercopithecidae.
GCCGGGCGCGGUGGCUCGCGCCUGUAAUCCCAGCACUUUGGGAGGCUGAGGCGGGUGGAUCACCUGAGGCCAGGAGUUCGAGACCAGCCUGGCCAACAUGGUGAAAACUUGUCUCUA